Molecule: ribosomal RNA, 1437 nt
Filed under: uncultured organism
Description: SSU rRNA
Rfam family: Bacterial small subunit ribosomal RNA
Source: RNAcentral
CAUGAUGAACGCUAGCUACAGGCUUAACACAUGCAAGUCGAGGGGCAGCAUGGUCUUAGCUUGCUAAGGCCGAUGGCGACCGGCGCACGGGUGAGUAACACGUAUCCAACCUGCCGUCUACUCUUGGACAGCCUUCUGAAAGGAAGAUUAAUACAAGAUGGCAUCAUGAGUCCGCAUGUUCACAUGAUUAAAGGUAUUCCGGUAGACGAUGGGGAUGCGUUCCAUUAGAUAGUAGGCGGGGUAACGGCCCACCUAGUCUUCGAUGGAUAGGGGUUCUGAGAGGAAGGUCCCCCACAUUGGAACUGAGACACGGUCCAAACUCCUACGGGAGGCAGCAGUGAGGAAUAUUGGUCAAUGGGCGAGAGCCUGAACCAGCCAAGUAGCGUGAAGGAUGACUGCCCUAUGGGUUGUAAACUUCUUUUAUAAAGGAAUAAAGUCGGGUAUGCAUACCCGUUUGCAUGUACUUUAUGAAUAAGGAUCGGCUAACUCCGUGCCAGCAGCCGCGGUAAUACGGAGGAUCCGAGCGUUAUCCGGAUUUAUUGGGUUUAAAGGGAGCGUAGAUGGAUGUUUAAGUCAGUUGUGAAAGUUUGCGGCUCAACCGUAAAAUUGCAGUUGAUACUGGAUAUCUUGAGUGCAGUUGAGGCAGGCGGAAUUCGUGGUGUAGCGGUGAAAUGCUUAGAUAUCACGAAGAACUCCGAUUGCGAAGGCAGCCUGCUAAGCUGCAACUGACAUUGAGGCUCGAAAGUGUGGGUAUCAAACAGAAUUAGAUACCCUGGUAGUCCACACGGUAAACGAUGAAUACUCGCUGUUUGCGAUAUACAGCAAGCGGCCAAGCGAAAGCGUUAAGUAUUCCACCUGGGGAGUACGCCGGCAACGGUGAAACUCAAAGGAAUUGACGGGGGCCCGCACAAGCGGAGGAACAUGUGGUUUAAUUCGAUGAUACGCGAGGAACCUUACCCGGGCUUAAAUUGCAGAUGAAUUACGGUGAAAGCCGUAAGCCGCAAGGCAUCUGUGAAGGUGCUGCAUGGUUGUCGUCAGCUCGUGCCGUGAGGUGUCGGCUUAAGUGCCAUAACGAGCGCAACCCUUGUUGUCAGUUACUAACAGGUUCCGCUGAGGACUCUGACAAGACUGCCAUCGUAAGAUGUGAGGAAGGUGGGGAUGACGUCAAAUCAGCACGGCCCUUACGUCCGGGGCUACACACGUGUUACAAUGGGGGGUACAGAGGGCCGCUACCACGCGAGUGGAUGCCAAUCCCCAAAACCUCUCUCAGUUCGGACUGGAGUCUGCAACCCGACUCCACGAAGCUGGAUUCGCUAGUAAUCGCGCAUCAGCCACGGCGCGGUGAAUACGUUCCCGGGCCUUGUACACACCGCCCGUCAAGCCAUGGGAGCCGGGGGUACCAGAAGUGCGUAACCGCGAGGAGCGCCCUAGGGUAAA